AUGUUUUAUUCAGCUUUGAACCCAUCAGUUAUUUCUGGGCUCCUAAACGCAAUUGAGCACCUCGUUGGGACUAACUUUCUUACAUGGAAGGAGCAGAUUUCCAUUAACCUUGGGGUCAUGGAUCUUGACUACACACUUAGGGAGAAGGCUCCAGUUCCCUUGUCCUCUGAUGAUGAAAACCUUGCUGAGAGAACUAAGGUUUAUGAGGCUAACAAGAAGAAGUGGGAGUGCUCCAAUCGAUUGUCCCUCAUGAUCAUGAAAAGCACAAUUACUCUUGGGAUUAGGGGAGCUAUCCCCGAUUCCGAAUGUGCUAAGACUUAUCUGGCAUCGGUGGAGGAACAAUUUAAAGGCUCCACAAAAGUCUAUGCCAGUACUCUGAUCAUGAAAAUGCUCACCACUAAGUAUGAUGGUGCAAGCGGUGUGAGAGAACAUAUCAUGACUAUGAACGAUAUGCCGCAAAAUUAA
RNAcentral lists this ribosomal RNA (465 nucleotides) under Triticum aestivum (bread wheat). RNAcentral's name for it is "partial small subunit ribosomal RNA". Lineage: Eukaryota; Viridiplantae; Streptophyta; Magnoliopsida; Poales; Poaceae. The record is from RNAcentral.